GCUCUUUCCUCGAUGUGUUUUACCCAGCAAUUGAUGUGCUUUUGGCUGAAGGUAUGUUUUAGCAACGACUCGUGUUUUAUUUUGCUACAGGGUCCAGCAACCUAAGUCUUCCCUGCUUUCAUUACUCCACACUUUCGUCAGUACUCACAAAACGCGCUUCUCCCUAUCCUCCCAUGAAUUGGUGGAUGAGGCAGAAAGAAUGAAGUGAGACUCGAGUUACGCCAUCGGCUGGAAGACGGCCCAGAGGAUGUGGAUAGAGUGGCCCUACAGGGGUUGACCCUGAACCAGACUCCCUGCCCUCCCCACCCCCAGACAGCAACCGACUACAGCCCUGCGACCCACCACCAAGCCCCCGUCAAAUGGGUUCGCCACAUCAUCCGCAGCGUGGAGGAGCAGUUUGUCGACGCAGAGGAUUGAGGUCCGGUGUGUCCUGAUACACUUUUUAUUAGUUAACUCUUUAAUCGUAAGCUCUUAGGAAUGAUAUUUUAGUUGGUUUCUCAGGUGUCAGGGUUAGGGUUAGUAUUACUUGUUCCUUGGUUUGUUAAUGAAUUAGGAUGUCAUAUUUGUAGCCUCGUUGACAGUUGGGUUACAUGUUAACAAUUCAUUAUUUUUUUUGUGAAUCAUUUCAAUAGAUGUGUAGUCUAACUCUUAACUAAAAGAGAAAUUGUAGUUUUUAUCUUAUUUUUUAAAUACUUUUGUUUUAAAAGCAAUCACCUGAUAUAGGCCCAUGUGUUCAAGUGUCACUCCCUUUAAAAUCAUAUGUGUUAAAAUGGAGAGGGCACAGUGCAAGAAUAAGUAUGUUUGGAUAUAUUCUCAAAUGGAUUUUCCUGAUUGAUUCUGAGCCCAUGGAGAGCAAGAGGUCAGGUUGCCAUGACUACAGCACCCUGUAAGACACCACCCACUGGGCACAGAUGUCAAUUCAACGUCUAUUCCAAGUUGGUUCAAUGUAAUUUCAUUGAAAUGGUGUGGAAACAAUGUUGAUUCAACCAGUGUGCGCUCAGUGGAAAUGAAAUUCAGCUUUUGAGAUCCAAGAUAUCUUUAAUGCAAAUAAACCAUGCAUUUUAACAA
Long non-coding RNA from Oncorhynchus tshawytscha (Chinook salmon), 1068 nucleotides. The record is from Ensembl. Lineage: Eukaryota; Metazoa; Chordata; Actinopteri; Salmoniformes; Salmonidae.